This 497-nucleotide ribosomal RNA is filed under the name uncultured bacterium. Its description in RNAcentral is "partial 16S ribosomal RNA". It matches the Rfam family "Bacterial small subunit ribosomal RNA", at positions 28 to 507 of the family's 1533-position model. The record is from RNAcentral.
GAUGAACGCUGGCGGCGUGCCUAAUACAUGCAAGUCGAGCGAACAGACGAGGAGCUUGCUCCUCUGACGUUAGCGGCGGACGGGUGAGUAACACGUGGAUAACCUACCUAUAAGACUGGGAUAACUUCGGGAAACCGGAUCUAAUACCGGAUAAUAUAUUGAACCGCAUGGUUCAAUAGUGAAAGACGGUUUUGCUGUCACUUAUAGAUUGAUCCGCGCCUCAUUAGCUAGUUGGUAAGGUAACGGCUUACCAAGGCAACGAUGCGUAGCCGACCUGAGAGGGUGAUCGGCCACACUGGAACUGAGACACGGUCCAGACUCCUACGGGAGGCAGCAGUAGGGAAUCUUCCGCAAUGGGCGAAAGCUUGACGGAGCAACGCCGCGUGAGUGAUGAAGGUCCUCGGAUCGUAAAACUCUGUUAUUAGGGAAGAACAAAUGUGUAAGUAACUAUGCACGUCUUGACGGUACCUAAUCAGAAAGCCACGGCUAACUACGUG